Musa acuminata AAA Group (dessert banana) is the source of this 6586-nucleotide long non-coding RNA. RefSeq lists it as uncharacterized. The transcript is spliced from 2 exons. The record is from RefSeq and is a predicted model, not a curated record. Lineage: Eukaryota; Viridiplantae; Streptophyta; Magnoliopsida; Zingiberales; Musaceae.
GAGAUCCAAUUGUGUAAUAUCCCUCGCUUUUAAAAAUUAUUAAUAAAGAUUUAUAUGUAAAUUGGAGGACCUAUAUGUAAAUAUAGAAAUUACAAGGACUAAACUGCUAAGUUGCAAAAAAAGAAAAAAAAAGGGAAAACCGAAAAUUCGGUAUUAUCCCACCGCCUCCCACGCACUCUGUUUCUUCCAGAAACAGAGAGAGCGGUGGGGCGUGAGGACAAGAAGGAGAGUGGUAGAAGAAGAGGAGGUGGCUGCAGCGAGGGCUGCAGCGAGAAGCUGUGGGGCGUGGGGAGAAGAAGAGAGGAAGAAGAGGGAGAAGAGAAGAAGAAGAAGAAGAAGAAGAGAAGAGGAUAGCUGCGGCAAGGCUGCAGCGAGGAGGUGUGUGGGGUUGGGGAGGAAAAGGGAAGAGGAGAAGAAGAGGGAAAAGAGAGGGAAGAGGGAGAGGAGCGAGAGGUGGCAGCAGCUAGGGCUGCAGCACCUCUGUUUCCUGCAGGUGGAAACAGAGGAGAGGUGUGGGGCGUUCGAAGAGGAGAAGAAGAAGAAGAGGAAGAGAAGAGGAAGAGGAAGCAGGGGAAGAGGUUGUGACACCUCUGUUUCCUGCAGACGAAACAGAGGAGAGGGUGUGGGUGACGUCGGGGAGAAGAAGGGGAGGAAGGAGAAGAAGAGAAGAAGAAGAAAGGAAGGAAAAGGAAGAGGAGAAGGGAAGAAAGUAGCUGCGGCUGCGGUUGUGGCAGCUGCAGCUGUGGCAGGGAAAGAAGAAGAGAAAGGAAGAAGGGAAGGAGAGGAAGAAGAGAAGGGGCUACGGCUGCGGCGAUGGCAGCUGCAGUUGGAAGAGAAGAAGGAGAGGAAGAUGAGCAGGGGAGGAAGAAAGGGCUGUGGCCGUGGCUGAGGCUGCGACUGCAGCAUGCAGCUGGGAAAGAAGAGAAGGAAAGGAAGAAGAAGAGAAAGGAAGAAGGGAAGGAGAGGAAGAAGAGAAGGGGCUACGGCUGCGGCGAUGGCAGCUGCAGUUGGAAGAGAAGAAGGAGAGGAAGAUGAGCAGGGGAGGAAGAAGAGGCUGCGAGUGUGGUGGCUGCGGCCGUGGCUGCGACUCCGGCGGCGGCUGCGACGUUGGCUGCGGUAGCUGCGGCAGCGGUGGUGGCUGCAGUAGCUGCAGUAGCUGCUUUUGGGAAAGAGAAAGAGUAGGAACGAGAGAAGGGAAGAAGGAAAUAGUGCAGUGGAAGGGGGCUGCGGUUGUGACCGCAGUUGCGGUCGUGGCUGCGAUUGUGGCAGCGGCAGCGACGGCGGCUGUGGCAGCUGUGUUUGGGAAAGAAAAAGAAGGAAUGAGAGUAAGAGAGAGCAGGUGACUGUGCCUCGAUGUUCGACACGUGGUGUAGUUGCGAAGAAAGGAAGAAAACGGGAGCACAAAACGAAACAGAGAGAGGACACGGAGGAAAAGUAGAAAGAUUGGAUUGGCACCUUCCUUGGAUAUUCAGAUCAAAAUAUUUGAAAGGUCAGCUUGUCACUCUUCGAGAUGUUUGAUUUGGGCUGAGGCAGUGGAUAGCUAUUCAGAAUAAUGGGCAAGUCUGGUUGGUUAUUACGAUAUUGUUGUAUAAGUAUGUCUUGUAUAUAAUGAAAUGUUGUCGAUGAACCGAAAUGGAUAUACUGUAUCCAAGUGUUAGAAGAUCUCUCUUAUUUGGAAUUUCGGAAUGUUAAGUCUAAUUUAUGACGAUAUGAACUGGUGGUGAAUAGUUGGAGUUCUGAUUGUAUAAUUUAUUUAGCUUGUGGAUUUAUAAAUGUUGUUCAUGUUUGUCAAGUUGGCUUGGGUUGCCAUAAAUGUGAAUUAUCGAGUGAUGUGAUAUAUGAUUUUAAAAUGCACAGGUGGUAUGGAUGUGAAUAUGAAUAGAAUGUUUUUCAGUGUCCUCAAACGUUAGUUUGGAUCCUGGAUUGGUUUGUGAUGAUUGUUUUAAAAAUCAUGGAUAUUUUGAGGGGCGUGACAGAGGUGGUAUCAGAGCAUUGUUUGAGGAUUACUGAAAUAUUUGAUAUGUUGACGUGCAAAAUAUAUUGAGGUCUAAUGAACUAUAGUGAUCGGUGGAAAUUUUCUUUGAUGCAUUUUAGGAAUCUGGGAUGACGAGGACAUUUGGUCCUCCUAUUUCAUUUGUUUCUGAUUAAUUAAGAGGAAUGAAAGGAUUGAUUGGGGAUAUUGAAUCAGAGUGGCGCAGCAGAAGCAUGAUGAACCUAAUUUCAUUGGUGGUAGAAAAAUGGAUGAUGCAAAUAGAGAAGAUAUUCUAUGUACAAAAUUGUUCUGAUGAUCAAAAGAUUUCUUUUGCUACCUUAUAUUGGAAGUAGAGGCUGAUUAUUAUUGGCAACAAUGAAAAGAAUUUUUGGAGAUAUGUGGCAAGAAUGAUAAGGAUAAGUUUAGCAAUAAAAAUAUGAUUGGAAAUGAAUCAGAAAGUGAUAACAAGAGGGUCAAGAUAUUUGGAUUUGAAAUGGGAAGUCAUCACAAAAGACUCAAUCACGUGUGAAUUAUAAGUUAAAUUAUGAAACAAAUUUGUGUUUCGGGUGAUUGGAGUCUAUUUUGCUUGUAGAAAGUUGGAUCAUAAAAUAAAAGACUGCCCUUUGAACAAUAAGAAAGAGUCACUGCCUCAUAAAUCAUCAGCCCAUGUCAGAGUGUAUACUAUCACUGAAUAUGAUUCUAAGACUUCUGAAUUAGUGGUCGAAGGUAUUAUGCAUGUUUAUGAAAGAAUGCAAAUAUUUGUUCGACCAUGGGUCCAAUCUACGAUUUGAUUCGUAAUAUUUUGCUUAUCACUUGGGUAUUCAACCUAGACCACUGUAUUAUGUGGUAUAUGUAAGUACAAUCAUUAGAGAUUCUUUGAUAACGAACUUGAAUCUGGUCCUCUUGUCUGAUUUUUAUUGGAGAACUUGAACUUUUGCUGAUUUAGUUCUCCUAGAGAUUUGGAGUUAUGAUAUUAUACUUGGUAUGGAUUGGCUAUCUUCUUAUCAUACCAGUAUGGAUUGGUAUAUAACCAAUGAUCACUUUUUGUAUAUUUGAUCAGCCGAUCUUUUAUUUUGAGAGUAUUGGGACAUGAUUUAUCUCUUUGCCUAAUGUAUCCCAGGAUGACUUGCUUGGAUUAUCUCCAAAUGUGAUCUUGCUUUUGAUUUGGUCCUUUGGACAAUCCUAAUAUCUAAGCCUCUCUACAGAAAGAUAUCAUUUGAGUAAGUGGAAUUGGAAAAGCAACUACAAGGAUUAUUAAAUGAGGAUUUUAUUUGGCUUAAUAUUUCAUCAUGGGGUGCUCCGGUGUUAGUUAAAAAGAUGUAUGGAACAUUGAGGCUUUGUAAUGAUUAUAGACAAUUGAAUUAGGUGACCAUAAAAAAAUGUGUAUUUCCUGAAGUAACGACUUGCUUGAUUAACUGUAGGGUGCGCAAGUAUUUUUAGAAACUUAUUGAAGGUCGGGUUACCGUCUAUUGAGGAUCAAGGAGGAGAAUAUUUCGGUCACUCGUGGAUAACUAUGUAAUUGUAUUGUAUUGAUGAAAUUAUUUGAGAGUAGGAGGAGGAAAUAGAGAUAUCAUAAUCCUCAUCUUUUCAUCGAUUGAGCUAUGAUCAAUUUAGAGGACUAAAUUUUCUUUUAAGGGGGGGAGAGUGUAAUAUCCCUCGCUUUUAAAAAUUAUUAAUAAAGAUUUAUAUGUAAAUUGGAGGACCUAUAUGUAAAUAUAGAAAUUACAAGGACUAAACUGCUAAGUUGCAAAAAAAGAAAAAAAAAGGGAAAACCGAAAAUUCGGUAUUAUCCCACCGCCUCCCACGCACUCUGUUUCUUCCAGAAACAGAGAGAGCGGUGGGGCGUGAGGACAAGAAGGAGAGUGGUAGAAGAAGAGGAGGUGGCUGCAGCGAGGGCUGCAGCGAGAAGCUGUGGGGCGUGGGGAGAAGAAGAGAGGAAGAAGAGGGAGAAGAGAAGAAGAAGAAGAAGAAGAAGAGAAGAGGAUAGCUGCGGCAAGGCUGCAGCGAGGAGGUGUGUGGGGUUGGGGAGGAAAAGGGAAGAGGAGAAGAAGAGGGAAAAGAGAGGGAAGAGGGAGAGGAGCGAGAGGUGGCAGCAGCUAGGGCUGCAGCACCUCUGUUUCCUGCAGGUGGAAACAGAGGAGAGGUGUGGGGCGUUCGAAGAGGAGAAGAAGAAGAAGAGGAAGAGAAGAGGAAGAGGAAGCAGGGGAAGAGGUUGUGACACCUCUGUUUCCUGCAGACGAAACAGAGGAGAGGGUGUGGGUGACGUCGGGGAGAAGAAGGGGAGGAAGGAGAAGAAGAGAAGAAGAAGAAAGGAAGGAAAAGGAAGAGGAGAAGGGAAGAAAGUAGCUGCGGCUGCGGUUGUGGCAGCUGCAGCUGUGGCAGGGAAAGAAGAAGAGAAAGGAAGAAGGGAAGGAGAGGAAGAAGAGAAGGGGCUACGGCUGCGGCGAUGGCAGCUGCAGUUGGAAGAGAAGAAGGAGAGGAAGAUGAGCAGGGGAGGAAGAAAGGGCUGUGGCCGUGGCUGAGGCUGCGACUGCAGCAUGCAGCUGGGAAAGAAGAGAAGGAAAGGAAGAAGAAGAGAAAGGAAGAAGGGAAGGAGAGGAAGAAGAGAAGGGGCUACGGCUGCGGCGAUGGCAGCUGCAGUUGGAAGAGAAGAAGGAGAGGAAGAUGAGCAGGGGAGGAAGAAGAGGCUGCGAGUGUGGUGGCUGCGGCCGUGGCUGCGACUCCGGCGGCGGCUGCGACGUUGGCUGCGGUAGCUGCGGCAGCGGUGGUGGCUGCAGUAGCUGCAGUAGCUGCUUUUGGGAAAGAGAAAGAGUAGGAACGAGAGAAGGGAAGAAGGAAAUAGUGCAGUGGAAGGGGGCUGCGGUUGUGACCGCAGUUGCGGUCGUGGCUGCGAUUGUGGCAGCGGCAGCGACGGCGGCUGUGGCAGCUGUGUUUGGGAAAGAAAAAGAAGGAAUGAGAGUAAGAGAGAGCAGGUGACUGUGCCUCGAUGUUCGACACGUGGUGUAGUUGCGAAGAAAGGAAGAAAACGGGAGCACAAAACGAAACAGAGAGAGGACACGGAGGAAAAGUAGAAAGAUUGGAUUGGCACCUUCCUUGGAUAUUCAGAUCAAAAUAUUUGAAAGGCAAGUUUCCCGCUUGUUUCGAUCCUUUCUAUUGCAAGUUCCCUGAUCGUUUCUCCUAUAAUUACUCUGAUAUGUCUUAUUGCAAGUGUUCUAACCUUUUCUAUUGCAAGCUUUCUAAUCUUUUCUCUUGCAAGUAUCCUGAUUUGUUCCUCACUGCCAUUUUUAUCUCUACAUUUGCUUUGAAUAUGAGGAACUUUGAAUCAUUCUAGCCUUGCAUUUGUUAUAUCUCCUGUUUAGACGUAACGAUUCGAAUCUGUGCAACUUCUGAGAUUCUGACCUUUUGAUACCGAGCUGCCUAUAAGUCUUUGUGGAAACUCUGAUUUGUUCAAAACUGAUUUCAUUGGAAACUAGACUCGUAGACCUUUCCUUGAUAUAUGGAUUGAAAGAUUUGGAAUCCAAACACCUGUCCAGUUAUCUGUUGAAUCUGACAUUAUGAAUUCUGCCAACAGAGAUUUUGUUAUACGACACUUGCUUACCAAAUUAUUUGUAACUCUCUCUGUUGGACAGUUCAAUUCAUAUGAAGCCUAUCUUAUCUGAAAGUAUUAUCCAAUGAUUAUUUCUGAGUAAAUUGGAGCACGAUUGAUAGUUUGAAAUCAUUUGUUCAAUGUGCCUUCUGUAUUCUGCCAGAAAUCGAGCUUUGGUCGAUUUCUCAUACUCUGGUUUCAUUCCUUUGGAAAUUGAUAUCCUUUAGCUUUCUCAUUCAAUUGAGCUUUAUAUUACUGCUUUGAAUUCUUGUAUGCUCUUGUCCUUAAAAUUAUUGCAUUCUUGAAAACUGUUGUGUAACGUUUAUGCUAUAUCGUAUUGACUCAUAUAGGCACAUGUAUAUCCUAUUGUUCCGCAUUUGCUUUUGAUAUGUGCCUAUUCCAGUUCCAUUCCUUUGGAUAUCUGAAUUUGUCUAACCUUCUUAUUGGAAUUGAGCUGAUUAUGAUUGCUUGGAAUCCCUGUACACUCUUGCUUUCAAUUCUUUCCUAAAAUGAAUACUUUUGUGAGAGAUUUGUUCCUUGCAUCAUUGUUUUGAAAAGGCACAUGUACGUUUGGUUGUUCCGCGUGUGCUUCCGUUAUAUGCUGCUUAUUGUUGAAACUGCCUUCUUGUACUCUGGUGUGUGGGAUAUUGUGAACCUUUGCCAGAAAUGGUAAAGGGAGUUGUGAACCUUUGCCAGAAAUGGUAAAGGGAGUUGUGAACCUUUGCCAGAAAUGGUAAAGGGAGUUGUGAACCUUUGCCAGAAAUGGUAAAGGGAGUUAUGCAUAGAGCCUGCGAUGCUCUGCCGGCCCCCUCUGACUUCACCUAGACGUGGGUGGAUGGAGCUCCCAGACGUGGGAGACUUUUGUCAGGUGGUCAUUCAGAAAUGGAUGAAUCACAUUCUGACUGAGAUCCCACUACACCUUCUGUAUGUUUGAUAUGAUAUCCAGAGCUUUGGUUAUGUGUUUCUGUACAUGCUUUGGAUAAGAUUGAUAUGUUUGCAACGUCAAAGACGACGUUUGAGCUUCUGUA